This 338-nucleotide small nuclear RNA is filed under the name Erinaceus europaeus (western European hedgehog). RNAcentral describes it as "7SK RNA". It matches the Rfam family "7SK RNA". From Rfam's summary of the family: 7SK was discovered as an abundant small nuclear RNA in the mid-70s but a possible function has only recently been suggested. Two independent studies have found that 7SK RNA binds the CDK9/cyclin T complex (known as elongation factor P-TEFb). P-TEFb activates transcription by phosphorylating the C-terminal domain of RNA polymerase II. The record is from Rfam by way of RNAcentral. Lineage: Eukaryota; Metazoa; Chordata; Mammalia; Eulipotyphla; Erinaceidae.
GGAUGUGAGGGAGAUCUGGCUGUGACAUCUGUCACCCCAUUGAUCACCAGGGUUGAUUCAGCUGAUCUGGUUGGUUAGUCGGGUGUCCCCUUCCUCCCUCACCACUCUAUGUGUGUCCUUCCUGAAGCUGUGCACUCAGUCAAAGAGGACAGCCUUCCCCAAAUAGAGACGGACUGGUCUUCAGUCAAAGGUAUAUGAGUAGCUGCGCUCCCCUGCUAGAACCUCCAAACAAGCUCUCAAGGAAAUAAAUAAUAAAGGUGGUCCAGGAGGUGGCACAGUGGCUAAGGCAUUAGACUCUUCAAAAAAAAAAAAAUAAUAAUAAUAAUAUUUAUUUAUUU